UUACAGUUCGUAACAAGUGCCACAAGCC
RNAcentral lists this non-coding RNA (28 nucleotides) under Mus musculus (house mouse). Lineage: Eukaryota; Metazoa; Chordata; Mammalia; Rodentia; Muridae. The record is from RNAcentral.